UUUUUUUUUUUUUUUUUUUUUUUUUUUAGUGCUGCACCUUCAGCAUAGGAAUGUUCCCAGGCUAGGGGUCAAAUUGGAGCUACAGCUGCUGGCCUACCCUACAGCCCAGCAACACCAGAUCUGAGCUGCAUCUGCGACAUAUAUCACAGAUUGCACAAUGCUGGAUCCUUUAACACACUGAGUGAGACCAGGGUUCGAACCCACAACCUCAUGGAUACUAGGUGGGUUUGUUUCUGCUGAGCCACAACAGGAACGCCAAGACAGAAAACUUUUAGACAGUAAGGAUCUCCUCCACUCCAUCCAGCCCCACCUCCACCAGAAUCAGCAAAAGGCUGAGUGAGGAGCCUAGUUCUCCACCCUCCUCUGGCUGAAAGGAGGUGUCCCAAGCCAGGAUGGUAUUGGACAAGGUCCAGUGGGGAACCUGGGUUUUCAUGCCAGCCAGGCAGGAAGGAGGCUCUCCUGCACCCCCACAGGAGUGGCAUCAGAGAAGGUGUGGGACCACUCUUUGCAGUGAUAAAGAACCCCAGCCCCUCCACCAAGGCAGUAUCAGCAGAGGCCUAGGAGGAGCCUGAGCUUCCAUGUCCACUCAGCAGCAACAAAGCAGCCUUCCCCCCAACCCAGGAUGUCCGUAGCAGCCAAGUGGAGAACUUGGACUUCCACCCACACCUGGUCGUAAGGAGGAAGAAAUCCCCCUUCCUUUGCUGGAGGUGUCAGUGGGGGCAGACAUAAUAAGAAUAUUAAUCUAAGACCAGAGUCUCAUGACAAUACCAAAAAAAUCCAGAAAACAGUUGAAAAUUACGCAUCACACCAAGAACCAGGAAAAUGCAAGUUGGAUGAGAAAAAACAAUGGAGAGGUGCCAAUAUCAAGAUGAUAAAGAUAUCAGAAUACUGUAAGAUUUUGAAGCAGGAGUUCCCAUCGUGGCACAGUGGAAACAAAUCCAACUAGGAACCAUGAGGUUGCAGGUUUGAUCCCUGGCCUCGCUCAGUGGGUUAAGAAUCCAGCAUUUCCAUGAACUGUGGUGUAGGUUGCAGACAAGGCUUGGAUCCUGCAUUGCUGCGGCUGUGGUGUAAGCUGGCAGCUACAGCUCCGAUUCACCCCCUAGCCUGGGAACCUCCAUAUGCCAUGGGAAGCGGCCCUAGAAAAGGCAAAAAGACAAAAAGAUAAAAAGACCAAAAAAAAAGAUUUUGAAGCAGCUAUCAGAAAAAUGUUCAAAAAGCAAUUAUGAACACAUUUGAAACAAAUGAAAAAAUACAAAGUCUCAGCAAAGAAAUAGAAAAUCUCAACCAAGGAAUGGAAGAUACAGAGAAGAACCAAAUGGAAAUUUUAAAACUGAAGAAAAUAAUCAAAUUCAACAAGCAAAAUCAAUGAUGGGCUCACAGCAGAAUGGAAUGGAUAGAAGAAAGAAUCUGUGAACUUGAAAGCAGAGCUACAGAAACUAUGUAAUCUGAACAACAGAGAGAAAAUAGGCUACACACACACACACACACACACACACACACACACACACACACACACACACAAAGGAACGGGCCUUCUUGCUAUAGCUCAGUGGGUUACAAACCCAACUAGUAUCUGGGAGGACAUGGAAUCUAUCCCUAGCCUCACUCAGUGGGUUAAGGAUCUGGUAUUGCUGUGGCUGUGGUGUAAGCCGGCAGCUGCAGCUCCCAUUCAACCCGUAGCCUGGGAACUUCGCAUAUGCCGCAGGUGUGACCAUAGAAAAGAAGAAGAAGAAGUAAAAAAAAAGGAACAGAGCCUCAGGCAUCUGUGGGACAAUAACAAAACACCCACCACUCUUGCCAUCAGAAUUCAGGAAAGAGAGAAGAAAGAGGAUGGAGUUAAAAAAGUAUUUGAAAAAAAUAAUGGCUUAAAACAUCUCCAAUUUGGCAAAUAACCUAGAGAUUCAAGAAACUGAGUAAAUACCAAAGAGGAGGAACCCAAAGAAGUCCAUUCCAAGACAUACCACAGGAAAACUUUGAAAAUACAGAAAUGGAAAAAAAAAAUCUUGAAAGCAGUGAGAGAGACACAACACCCUGUGUUCUGUAUAUUUUAACACAAAAAAAUUGAUUGUUUAACUAAUGUUUAAAAGCUAGUUCUUUGAAAAGAUCUAUAAAAUUGGCAAACUUCUAGCAAGACUGACAAAGAAGAAUGAGAGAGAAAACACACAUCACCAGUAUCAGGAAUGAAACAGUGUCUGCAGCGGUUAAAAGGUUCAUAAAGGGAGUUCCUGUCAGGACGCAGCGGAAACGAAUCCGCCUAGGAACGAUGAGGUUGCGGAUUCGACCCCCAGACCUGCUGAGUGGGUUAAGGAUCCAGUGUUGCCAUGAGCCGUGGUGUAGGUUGCAGACGUGGCUUGGAUCUGGUGUGGCUGUGGCUGUGGCUGUGGCUGUGGUGUAGGCAGGUGGCUACAGCUCCAAUUGGACCCCUAGCCUGGGAACCUCCAUAUGCCAUGGGAGCUGCCCAAAAAAUGACAAAAAGACGAAAAAAGAAGAAGAAGAAGAAGAAAAAGUUGUAAAAUGGGGGUGGGGAGGCACUUGGGCUGAUGCCUACCAUCACAGCAUAGCCCCAAGGGCCAAUAUGUUCCUAUGUUCCAUCAGGCUGGCUGAAAACAGCCCAAAUGUGCAUCAACUAAUGAACAGGACAACAAAUUGUGGUAUGUCUAUGCAAUGGAAUAUUAUUCAGCCAUAAAAAGAAUGGGGUACUGAUAAGUGCUACAAUACACAUAAACCUUGAAAAUAGGAUGCUGCCAAUCACAAAACAUCACAGAUUAUAAGAUCUCGUUUGUAUGAAAUAACCAGCAUCAGUAAAUCACAGAAAAAGAAUGCAAGAGUGCCCUGGUGGCUCAGAGGGUUAAGGAUCUGACAUUGUCACUGCUGUGGCUCAGGUCACUGAUGUGUCAUGGAUUCUAUCCCUGGCCCAGGAACUUCCUCAUGCUAUGGGCACAGCCAAAAGAAAAGAAAAGAAAGGGAAAGGGAAAAAAA
This 2979-nucleotide long non-coding RNA is filed under the name Sus scrofa (pig). RNAcentral's name for it is "lncRNA (ENSSSCG00050030849.1)". Lineage: Eukaryota; Metazoa; Chordata; Mammalia; Artiodactyla; Suidae. The record is from RNAcentral.